RNAcentral lists this ribosomal RNA (253 nucleotides) under uncultured bacterium. RNAcentral's name for it is "partial 16S ribosomal RNA". It matches the Rfam family "Bacterial small subunit ribosomal RNA", at positions 524 to 776 of the family's 1533-position model. The record is from RNAcentral.
GACAGAGGGUGCAAACGUUGUUCGGAAUUACUGGGCGUAAAGCGCGUGUAGGCGGCUUUGUAAGUCGGAUGUGAAAUCCCGCGGCUCAACCGUGGAAGUGCACCCGAAACUGCAAGGCUAGAGUAUCGGAGAGGAAGGUGGAAUGCUUGGUGUAGAGGUGAAAUUCGUAGAUAUCAAGCGGAACACCGGUGGCGAAGGCGGCCUUCUGGACGAUUACUGACGCUGAGACGCGAAAGCGUGGGUAGCAAACAGG